AUGGUGUUGCUUGACAUUAGGGGUAUGUUGCAGUCCAUGGGCAAAGACAUAGCUGAUUUCAUUCUUCCAUGCAUUGACGAUGCUUUCGACCCAACCGAGGGCGAGGCCAGAGAAGUGAUCGAGGAAUCCAACGUCGAUUUUGACAUCAACGACACUAAAUUGGCUUCGUCGCUAAACUUGGAGCAGAGGGCUGCAUACGACGAGAUACUAGCUUCUGUUGAAUGCGGUGAUGGGGGUGUGUUCUUUGUUGAUGGCCCGGGAGGUACAGGGAAGACCUUCCUGUACAGGGCGCUGUUCGCCAAGGUUCGAAGCGAGGGAAACAUCGCUAUCGCUACUGCAACGUCAGGCGUCGCCGCUUCUAUCAUGCCUGGAGGCAGGACUGCCCACUCGAGGUUCAAGAUCCCGUUG
This 408-nucleotide ribosomal RNA is filed under the name Triticum aestivum (bread wheat). RNAcentral's name for it is "partial small subunit ribosomal RNA". Lineage: Eukaryota; Viridiplantae; Streptophyta; Magnoliopsida; Poales; Poaceae. The record is from RNAcentral.